RNAcentral lists this long non-coding RNA (575 nucleotides) under Phoenix dactylifera (date palm). RNAcentral's name for it is "long non-coding RNA (PDAC_LNC006608)". Lineage: Eukaryota; Viridiplantae; Streptophyta; Magnoliopsida; Arecales; Arecaceae. The record is from RNAcentral.
CAAGUCCGACUUAGAUCAGAACAAAUACGAAAUUAAAUCCCAAUUAAAUCAUGAUCGAGCCCAAUUACACUAAUUUAGACCCAAUCAAAUCCAAUCUCAACAAUUGAGUCCUGAUCAAGUUCAAUUAUAUUAAUUAAAACUUGAUUGACCCAAAAUACAGACUUAAUUAGUUGUUCAUCCAUGAAAUUUAGCAUGUACCUCAUGUUCAGUGCUAGCUGAACAUAGACAGAGCCAAAUUCCAAAUGACCCAUAAUUUAAUUCUUAAUUAAAUUGGGUCAAGACCUUCCUACUUAGCUUGACUAAUGUGCGUGACUCCAAUAGGUUCGAACACUAAGCCGGUAGUACAUGGACUACUCCAUGCACUAAUCGAGGUGACCACCUAGCAAUGAUACCCAACGUCCGGAUAGGUCAAAUAUGCAAAGCAACAUUCAAGAACCUAGACGUAUGGUUGUUGCAUAAUUCAUCCCUAUGACCUUCGAUGCUCAAGAUGACCUCAGAGUGGAUUGUCGAACUCUGGGUCCGGUCAUUCAUAGUGUAUUUCAAUUAAUCAAAUCAAGUGACUUAUCACUUGGUUU